GCCAAUUGGGUGUGAAAAUCAGAUUUGAAAAAGAGAUUCAGUAUUUCAGAACCAAAAGAAUUUUUGUACCACUGCUCACUGCCAACUAAAGUGAGGCUUGGCUGUUGAGCGGCCAUGUUAAUCAAAAAAAAUUGUUUUAUGAUUUUGACUAGAUUUUUAAAGCUAUUUCCUUCUAACAGAUAGUUUUUGUAUCCUUUAUAUACUCCACAUGAUUUUGGCUUUGUAUAGAAUUAAAUAGUAUUAGAGAACACAUUAGAAAUGCAAAAUCAUUGUAAUCUUUCUCCAUAUUUUAGUGAAUUCUCACCAUGUACAAAUUUCUUGUAUUGUGAUUGCUAC
Molecule: long non-coding RNA, 336 nt
Filed under: Olea europaea (common olive)
Lineage: Eukaryota; Viridiplantae; Streptophyta; Magnoliopsida; Lamiales; Oleaceae
Description: long non-coding RNA (OEUR_LNC010002)
Source: RNAcentral